AAUUAGUAGUUUAUUAAAGGGUUAAAUGCAUAUAGGUCCUUAUGAAUAUAGUGAAUUGUUAAAUGCAUACAGGUUUCUGUAAAUAUAGUAAUUUGCAAAUAUAUUCCUACAAAGUUCAACUUUCUUAUAUUAUCCCUAUAAAAGUUCUAAUAUUUUUAAAUAUAUCCUUCUGGUUUGUUACCAUUAGAAAACUAAUUAUAUUUUAACAGUAAAUAAGUGAAAUAUCAUUUUUAUCAUCACAAAUAUAUCCUUCCAAGAGUCACAAUAGUAUAAUAUAUGAGAGAUAAGAAUAUCAAGUUAUUUCAUAAACUAAUCAGCGUUAAAUAUUUAAUCUAUAGUUAAUUAAAAUUUUUUUACGGAUUCUAACGGCAAAAACAUAUUUGAAAAUAUUAUGACUUUUACUGGAACAUCACAUAAAAGUUAAACUUUGUAGAGAUAUAUUUGUAAUUUACUAUGUUUGCAGAGACCUGUAUACAAUUAAUCCUUUAUUAAAUUACUAGGUGAAU
This 506-nucleotide long non-coding RNA is filed under the name Ananas comosus (pineapple). RNAcentral describes it as "long non-coding RNA (ACOM_LNC035665)". Lineage: Eukaryota; Viridiplantae; Streptophyta; Magnoliopsida; Poales; Bromeliaceae. The record is from RNAcentral.